GUCAAGGUAGGUAUCAAUCUCUUCGUCUCGUCAAGUACUACAACUUUCCUUUUUGUUUCACUCAAUUUCGUUGAGUAUUGAAGAAGUUAUACUCAUUUGAAAAAUACCCAGUUUCCGACGACCUCCGAGGCUUUCGAGGCAGUUUCCGGCCAAACCACGGCGAACUAGGUGUUGUACAAGGUACCAUUAUCUUUGUCUCUUCAAGGGCUACAACUUUCAUUUUUGAAUCACUUGAUUUCGUUGAGAAAUGACAAAGUUAUGGCAAUUUGAAAAACGGCCGCCGGAAAAACCAGUCCGGCGACCCAAGGAAGAAGAAGGUGCGCGUGGGGGCGCGUGCUACAGUAACAAAAUAUUUUAAAAAUAUGUCGACGUCCGUGACGGAGUAGAUCUCUGUGGUAUAUUCAUAUACCCAAUUUGAGCACCGUAUGAGAAAGUUAUUAAGGAUUGUUGGUUAGGUGUUCGAAUAACGUUUUAUAGUUUUGGUGAAAAUGUGAAUUGAUGAUCCGACCGUUGGAUCGUCACCAAAAUUUGAUACGUUGUAAUACGUAAUAUUUGAGGAUUAUAGGAACUUACAGAUUGGGAAUCCGAUUUGCGGAUCUUCCGAAAUUGGAGUUGUAAGUCCAUAAUAUAGAAUGUUAACUGUCACUUAGUUUUGGAAAUUGACGGAGAUCCAACCGUUGGAUGGUAAUGAAAUUUUAGGAUGUUAUCCUAGAGAUAUAUUGUGGACCUCUGGAAGUUAUGGAUUUAAAAUCUGAGUGGCAGAUCUUCCGGAUCGAACUACGUAGUGACGUAUUUUAUAUAAGUUAUAUAUUCUAUCGAUAUGAAUUCUGAGGUUGGAUUUGAUUACUAUUCUAGGCGGCGAUCGUCGUGACGCCUUGAUGUGUGGUGCUAGGGAGUUGUUGGACGAACUCCAGGUGAGUGGGCAGUUUUGUUUUCCGUAUACAUAUAUACUUGCCGUUUUCCCAGAAAUUGAAAAUGCAUGAAAUUAUGCUUUUAAUGAAAAUGUAUAAAAGUAUAUGAGAUAUAUUAGUUGAAAUGCCAUGCAUGAAAGUAUAUGAAAAGUAGAUAGAAAUGUGAAUCGAAUUGCCAUGCAUGAAAUGAUAUGGAAAGUAUGAAUUGAUAUAUGAUGCAUAUGUAUGAAUUGGUGCGGCGGACGCACAGGUGAGUAUCAGGUGAGUAUUUAAAUAUUGUUAUGAUGAUGUUGAUAUAUAUUGAGCUAAAUCCUGCACCAUGGUUUAGUGCUUAUAGUAUUCACCGCAUCGCACGCUCGCCUUGGAUCCAAGUAGAUGCUGGUCGCACAGUCCACGCGGAGUGGGUGCGACGGGCCAGUCGAAGAGUGUUAGUGAGAUUUCGACUGGUGGGUGACCUUAGAUUAUGUGCACAGAUGAUUGAUGAGAAAGCACUAGAGCGUAACUUGUGUGCAGAAGGCCGGACGGGUCACAGAGGUGACUCCGGUAGAGUGAUAGUGAUAGAUUUUGAGCUCUAGGUUCAACCGUACAGGGCUAUUAGAGGGCCUCCGGUUGAUUACUUUCUUGCACCUGAUAUGAUUAUUGUUGAUGCAUCCAUACUUAACUGUUGAAUUAGACAUGGCAUGGCAUGAUUGAUAAAGAAAAAAUGUUGAGUUAAUGAAUCGAAGUAUUGAGAAUAUAUAUGUAUAUUUAUAUUUUACAUUUCUGGGAAAGUAUACAGGUUUUACGGAGAGAGGUUACAACGUUUUGAGAAAUGUUUGGAUUUGGAAAGAAUUGUUUUACUGACCCACUCAAUUUUGGUUUUGCGCCCCUCCAGGUUAAAGAAUAGCUGAGGUGUGGUGGCUACGAGGAAUUCAACGGGGUUCUGACAGAAUGGAUCAAAUUAGGACUCACCUUCGGGUGUAUCAACUUAUAAAUUGUAUAAUUAAAGCUUCCGUACUGUGCAAAUGGUUACGUCACUCUCACGUGACGGCCAGCAUGCCCUCCUUCGGGACGGGGUGUGUCAGUUGGUAUCAGAGCAUGGUUGCAAUCUUGGACAUCUUGAGAAGUUCUAGUGAAUUCUGUCAGAACUACACCGCCUCGUAGCAAGCCACUUAGUUAGAGGAAUUUAGUCUCCCUAAUAUAGCGGUUUAGGGAAAACUAUUAUUAUGGUGAUUCAGUCUAUUAUAAAAAGGGACAUUUUAAGACGGGUUAUGAGUUGAAUUUGAAUCACCUUAUGAAAUGAUGAACCUGAGGGAGCGAAGUAACGGUUUAACCAUUUGGAAAAGAUGUUUCAGAUUAUGCAAGUCAAAGGAAUCUUCCUUCUGACAGGGGGUCGAGACGAUUACCUGGUUUUGGGUAUGAAUUUGUAUCCUGGUGGAAACAGGAGUAUGAUUUGUUGUCACCGGAGGAACAGCCGAUUUAAAAUUGUUUAAGGACUUGUUUAAGGAAAAGUUUAUCCCUCCGGCAUUUAUCGAUGAUAGUAAGCAAGAGUUUGCAAAUGUGAAUCAAGGAAGUUGACGAUAAAUGGAUAUUAUAGAAAGUUUUCAGACUUGCCUCGUUCCAUCCAGAUAUUGUUGUUAAUUUGGUAGAGGUGUUAUGUUGUUUUAAGCUGGGUGGCAAAAGGGAAGUGGUAUUUUGGGUGACCAUUAUCCAUUGUAGUUCUUAUCAGGAGUAUGCGAGAUGCUGUUGAGCCUUGAGGACUCUAAGAACAUGAGCAACGAGAAUAAAGAAGAAUAAGAAAUGAAUGGGAAUCAAAAGAAGACGAUAAAGUUUAUGAUUCGUCAUAUCAAGGAUAUAGAAAGAUUCAGAGCUUCGAAAGAAGUGAAGCUAGAGUUAAUUCUUCCAGCUGAGGUUUUAAUGUCGCUGGUCAGAAUAAAAGUGAUGGAUAUACUGGUAAUCCCAGAUAUUUGAGACAAGGUGUCUCGAGUAAAGGAAAUGUACCUUGUGCAGCAGGUACAAAAAAUUAACACUUUGGGAAGUGUGAAAUUAAUGAAUGUGUUUAUGUGAACAGAGGGGACACAGAAUUGUGAAUCGUCCCUAGAAUCAGUUGUACUCAACAAUUUUCCAUGAUAUCAUAGUGUCGAUUCAGCAGAGUUAUGGACUUAGUAGUUUGGUCGGAUUGACCGUGAGUACAGAGAGAUUUGAUGAGUUAUAUGUUCAGCCGUACAGACCAUGAGAAGUGGAUUCGAUUGACACAUGAGAAAUUUGUGAGUUAUAGGCUCAGCCGUACCGACCACGCGGAGUGGAUCCGGCCGACGUAUUAUUGAGAUAAGAGUUGAAUCAACCGUAUUGGUCAUUCUAGUUGACUUCGGCUGAUAUAUUUCUUAUUAUGUAUGAUAUUACCUAGAGAGUGGUAAAUAAAUGUAGUUGAGACGAGUGUAUGUAUUUUGCAUUGAGUGACAAAAUAGUAAUGUUAUAUCUUUUUUAGUGGUUGCCUACUUAUCGAGACAACGAUGAUUUAUCAGUAUUGCGGGCUGCAGACCGUAAUAUUAAUAACUCAUUCGUGGAUUCGUUAAGCAAGCAAACCGGUAGGUUAUUUUAUGUUAGUGUUGUACUUAUUUAGAAUGUUCAGUAUUAAUAAAGUAUGUAUUGUGUCGGUUAAAUUAUUUCCAUUAGAUUGGUUGGUUAUAAUUGUGACUAAAUGGACUGUUAUGGGAAACCAGUCACUUUCCAUCGAUCUGGAUGACCAGAGAUUACUUUUGUAAGUAUGCAAAGUGGAUUGAGUCAGGCCGUUAUUUAUGCUGUGAGAGCAAAGAGAUUGUUUUCGAAAGGCUGUCAAAAAAAUACUUAGCUCAUGUGGUGCUAAAUGAUGUUGUUUGGAGUAGUGUGAAUAAUGUCGAAAGAGUUAGACUUUUCUUGAUGUCUUCCCUGAAAGUAUACCUGGAUUGUCUUCAAGCAGAGAUAUGAGGUUCAUUAUUGAUUUGUUGCCAGGUAUAAAUUUAUAUUGGAGAUCAGUUCAUGAUGAGUUAAGAAAAUUGGAAAUUUAGUUGAAAGAAUUGGUUGACAAAAGUUUCAUUCAACCUAGUACAACACUUUUGAGGAGCCCCAGUUUGUUGGUGAGGAAGAAAAUGGAUCUUGAGACUGUUCAUUGAUUAUAGACAAUGGAGUCGGGUAACGAUUGAGAACCGUUAUCCAUGGUGAUGUAUUGAUGUUUAUUUAACCAGCUCAGAAGUAAUGGCGAAGAUUCAAAGAUUGAAUUGAGAUCUGGUUACUACCAAUUGAAUAUUAUAAGUGACGUUGAUCAUAAGAUGGUUUUCUGGACUCGUUAUAGUCUUUAUGAAGUUUGGUGAUGCUAUAUGGAUACUCAUGCUGUUUUAUGAGUUGAUGGAUGAAGUAUUCCAAUAAUGCCUUGAUAAAUUGAUAUCAUUUUCAUUGAAGAUAUUCUGGCAUAUUCUGAGCCAGAGCAGAGCAUGUAAACGUAUUAAGUCGGUGAAACAAAGAUUGGAAGAAUGUCGAUUGUAUGCUAAGUUUAGCAAAUGCUAAAGUUAGAUGAAUCAGGUGGCAUUCUGAGAUUUGUUAUAUAUUCUUAAGGUAUUCAAGUGAAUCCUUAAAAGAUAGCAGAAAUUGAGGAAUUGGAACAACCACGAACUGUAAUUGAGAUUCAGAAUUUCUUAGCUUACCAGGCUAUCUUGGAUGGUUGUGAAAGAUUUUUCAGUCAUUGCUUUGUCAUUGACGAGACUGUUGAGAAAAGAGGUUAUGUAUGAGUGGGAAGGAAAUUGUGAGCAAAUGAUUCAACAACUGAAGUAUUUCCUCACUCAUGCACGUAUUUUAGUAAUCCCAGAGAAUAGUGGUAAUCAUAAAUUUUUAGUGCUGUUUCUUGAAUGGUAUUGGAUGCAUGUUGAUGCAAAUGUUAGGGUGAUUGCAUACGUUUCACGACAAAUGGAAUCUCAUGAGAUGAAUUACCCUACUGGUGAUUUGGAAGUCACGAUUACCAUCCUUGCUGUGAAGUUAUGGAGACAUUAUAUUUUAGUGAGAAUGCAAGAUUUUUUUUACGAAUCCAAAAAGUCUUCAAUAUCCAUUACUUGGAAGGAUUUUGAUAUGAGGCAGCGAAAGUGAAUUGUAUUGCUUAAUGAACAUGAUUGAACGAUCAGAGUGAUCAUAAAGUUUGUUCUAGCUGAAGCAUUUGGUGAGAAGACUACAGUAAGAUUAAUGUCUGGCACGUUUGCCAAGAGUAUCAUCUUGUGGAUUGAAACCAACGGAAGAAAAAUUAAGAAUGGAAGAUCGAGAAGAAGUUAUACUUGUUAAAUUUCAAGUUAGGCCUUUUGGUAAGGUCGUACUCGAGACUCAAAUGGUAUGUGAAUACAAGCAAACGAAAAGUAUGUGCCUAAUGCUGUGGGUUUAAAGCAAACAAUUUUGGACGAAGUACACUGUUCAGCUUCUGCAAUAUUCCGAAGGUAAUAAGGUUUAUCAUACCAUUCGACAUUUUUAUUGGUCAGCAGAUUGAGGCAGAAAGAAAUAAACCUUUGGAUUGAGACAGCUAUUUUCUGUUUCGAAACGGAAAUGGAAAGAGAAUUGGAUUACGGAACUGCUGAGUUUCUUAAGUAUGUUGGGUGUGCAGUUUCCGAAAUAACGCCAUAGGGUCCCUGAAGCGUGUCGUGUGAAUGAAAUGCUUCUGAAUAGAGAAAGAUUCGAUCAAGAAAGAGUUUUAGUAGACCCUGAGACUAUGGAUGAGUCUCCUCAAAGUAUUCAGGUGAUUAAGUUUAACCUGAAGGUAGCCAGGAAUGGCAAAAGAGACUAACAGAUGGAUAUGCCAUUAAUCGAGUGUGUAAGGUAAAUGGUUUGAUAUUUUUGGAAAUUUCACCAUGAACAUAAAUAGUAAGAUUCAGAAAGGGAGACAAGAUAAGUCUUGAACACAUCAGUCCGUUUUGAUCAUUAAAGGAAUCGACGAAGUUGCAUACAAGUUUGUGAUGCCUUCAGAAUUGGCUAAGGCACAUAAUGUAUUUUGUGUUCGAUGCGUUGUCACUAAGUGGCAGAGUCGUUACAUGGGACUUUGGUGCAACUAUUGAGAAUUAAGCCGGAUCUGAUUGGUGAGGAACCAAUGACGACUUUGGAUUGGAAAAAGAAGGUCCUGAGAAUUAAGACAGAGUAAGUAGUAAAAGCUUUGUGAAGGAAUCAUUCAGUAGAAAAUUAUGUGGGAGAAAGAGAAUCGGAUGAGACAGAUUUACCCGUAGCUAUUGUUGGAGUAUGGUUGAUUUAGUUGGUUGCUGGAAUUUCGGGGACGAAAUUCUAUAAGGAGGGAAGAUUGUCACAGCCCGUCCCGGAAUUUUAAUUCUGAGAACGUGAAAAGACGAAAAUGCCCUUAAACGGGAGUAAGGGGCGAAAAUUUAACAAUUGGGAUUGAGUUGGACACGUGGGAUCCCCACAUCCCUCAAAACCUUCCCCAAUUCCCGUACCUUGUCACUCUUUCUCUCCUCCCUCACGAAACUCUCAGUUUUCUCUCCCUCUCCUUCGAACUCACACGGACAAGCUCCAAAACCACCCUAAACUUCUACCAACGACAGAGUUAAGACCACCAUCAAACUCCUGGAACCUCCACGAUCACGAUGGUAUCCAUUUCAGGUAAGUUUUGCUUCGGAAAACCCUAGUUUCAAAGUUCCCGUGAAAUGGUACCGUUCAUGAUCUUCUAAAUGACUACGUUUUAGGCUAAAACAAGAUCACAGCGAGCUUAGUGAGGUCCCAAGGAAGCUCGGAGUGCUUCGUUGGAAGUUUUUGGACGUAAGAACACGGAGAUCGACAAGUUCAAAGUUUGGCCGGAGCUUUCGAGGCUUUUUCCGGCGAAUCCCCGGCGAGUUAGGAGUCGAGGUAGGUAUCAAUUUCUUCGUCUCGUCAAGUACUACAACUUUCCUUUUUGUUUCACUCAAUUUCGUUGAGUAUUGAAGAAGUUAUACUCAUUUGAAAAAUACCCAGUUUCCGGCGACCUCCGAGGCUUUCGAGGCAGUUUCCGGCCAAACCACGGCGAACUAGGUGUUGUGCAAGGUACCAUUUGAAGAAGUUAUACUUUUCAAGGGCUACAACUUUCGUUUUUGAAUCACUUGAUUUCGUUGAGAAAUGACAAAGUUAUGGCAAUUUGAAAAACGGCCGCCGGAAAAACCAGUCCGGCGACCCAAGGAAGAAGAAGGUGCGCGUGGGGGCGCGUAGGUCCGUGCCUUCCUUGGCGCAUGGGGGCGCGUGCUACAGUAAAAAAAUAUUUUAAAAAUAUGUCGACGUCCGUGACGUCGAGUAGACCUCUGUGGUAUAUUCAUAUACCCAAUUUGAGCACCGUAUGAGAAAGUUAUUAAGGAUUGUUGGUUAGGUGUUCGAAUAACGUUUUAUAGUUUUGGUGAAAAUGUGAAUUGAUGAUCCGACCGUUGGAUCGUCACCAAAAUUUGAUACGUUGUAAUACGUAAUAUUUGAGGAUUAUAGGAACUUACAGAUUGGGAAUCCGAUUUGCGGAUCUUCCGAAAUUGGAGUUGUAAGUCCAUAAUAUAGAAUGUUAACUGUCACUUAGUUUUGGAAAUUGACGGAGAUCCAACCGUUGGAUGGUAAUGAAAUUUUAGGAUGUUAUCCUAGAGAUAUAUUGUGGACCUCUGGAAGUUAUGGAUUUAAAAUCUGAGUGGCAGAUCUUCCGGAUCGAACUACGUAGUGACGUAUUUUAUAUAAGUUAUAUAUUCUAUCGAUAUGAAUUCUGAGGUUGGAUUUGAUUACUAUUCUAGGCGGCGAUCGUCGUGACGCCUUGAUGUGUGGUGCUAGGGAGUUGUUGGACGAACUCCAGGUGAGUGGGCAGUUUUGUUUUCCGUAUACAUAUAUACUUGCCGUUUUCCCAGAAAUUGAAAAUGCAUGAAAUUAUGCUUUUAAUGAAAAUGUAUAAAAGUAUAUGAGAUAUAUUAGUUGAAAUGCCAUGCAUGAAAGUAUAUGAAAAGUAGAUAGAAAUGUGAAUCGAAUUGCCAUGCAUGAAAUGAUAUGGAAAGUAUGAAUUGAUAUAUGAUGCAUAUGUAUGAAUUGGUGCGGCGGACGCACAGGUGAGUAUCAGGUGAGUAUUUAAAUAUUGUUAUGAUGAUGUUGAUAUAUAUUGAGCUCAAAUCCUGCACCAUGGUUAGUGCUUAUAGUAUUCACCGCAUCGCACGCUCGCCUUGGAUCCAAGUAGAUGCUGGUCGCACAGUCCACGCGGAGUGGGUGCGACGGGCCAGUCGAAGAGUGUUAGUGAGAUUUCGACUGGUGGGUGACCUUAGAUUAUGUGCACAGAUGAUUGAUGAGAAAGCACUAGAGCGUAACUUGUGUGCAGAAGGCCGGACGGGUCACAGAGGUGACUCCGGUAGAGUGAUAGUGAUAGAUUUUGAGCUCUAGGUUCAACCGUACAGGGCUAUUAGAGGGCCUCCGGUUGAUUACUUUCUUGCACCUGAUAUGAUUAUUGUUGAUGCAUCCAUACUUAACUGUUGAAUUAGACAUGGCAUGGCAUGAUUGAUAAAGAAAAAAUGUUAAGUUAAUGAAUCGAAGUAUUGAGAAUAUAUAUGUAUAUUUAUAUUUUACAUUUCUGGGAAAGUAUACAGGUUUUACGGAGAGGGGUUACAACGUUUUGAGAAAUGUUUGGAUUUGGAAAAGAAUUGUUUUACUGACCCACUCAAUUUUGGUUUUGCGCCCCUCCAGGUUAAAGAAUAGCUGAGGUGUGGUGGCUACGAGGAAUUCAACGGGGUUCUGACAGAAUGGAUCAAAUUAGGACUCACCUUCGGGUGUAUCAAUUUAUAAAUUGUAUAAUUAAAGCUUCCGUACUGUGCAAAUGGUUACGUCACUCUCACGUGACGGCCAGCAUGCCCUCCUUCGGGACGGGGUGUGUCAUUUUAGGUGUUUGGUGAACUAAAAAAAAAAAGCUUAUUUUGGAAGCUGUUGUGAGAAUAAGCUGAAAUCAAAGGAAAAGCUGAAAUUGCUAUUUGCAGCUUUGGAAAACUGGCUUUUUUUUAAAGCACACGGAGCUACAAUGCUCCUUUAAUGAAAAGACUCACUAUCAGACUGUUUUUUUUUCAAAAGCACUUUUACAAAAAAAUUUACCAAACACUCUGUUGAUUUAUUUUACAGCCGUUUAUUCUCACAGCAGUUUUUUUUCAAAGCAUAACAAUACCAAACUAGCCCUUAAUUUUUUAAUUCAAUGGAAUAUUGGGAUUGAAUUAUUUACAAAUAAUUAACAUUAUAUAUUGUUUAGAGAAUGGUUAUUUAGCAAUUAAGCAUGAUUUUAUUUGAUUUUGCAUGAUGCGGGCUUUGAGUUUUAGCAACGUGUUUCACGGGCUUUGAGCUUUAAAGAAAACCUCAGUUAGUUCACUAUCUUGAGGACUCUCCCAGACUCAGACU
This 9269-nucleotide long non-coding RNA is filed under the name Malus domestica (apple). RNAcentral describes it as "long non-coding RNA (MDOM_LNC005303)". The record is from RNAcentral. Lineage: Eukaryota; Viridiplantae; Streptophyta; Magnoliopsida; Rosales; Rosaceae.